Molecule: ribosomal RNA, 305 nt
Filed under: uncultured bacterium
Lineage: Bacteria
Description: bacterial SSU rRNA
Rfam family: Bacterial small subunit ribosomal RNA
Source: RNAcentral
CUAUACCUACGGGACGCAGCAGUGGGGAAUAUUGCACAAUGGGGGAAACCCUGAUGCAGCAACGCCGCGUGGGUGAAGGAGCGUUUCGGCGCGUAAAGCCCUGUCAGCGGGGAAGAAGAAAGACGGUACCCGACCAAGAAGCCCCGGCUAACUACGUGCCAGCAGCCGCGGUAAUACGUAGGGGGCAAGCGUUAUCCGGAAUUACUGGGUGUAAAGGGAGAGUAGGCGGCAAGGUAAGCGAUAUGUGAAAGCCUUAGGCUUAACCAAAGGAUUGCAUAACGAACUAUCUAGCUAGAGUACAGGAG